GAAGCCGAUGAAGGACGUUACUAACGACGAUAUGCUUUGGGGAGCUGUAAGUAAGCUUUGAUCCAGAGAUUUCCGAAUGGGGAAACCCAGCAUGAGUUAUGUCAUGUUAUCGAUAUGUGAAUACAUAGCAUAUCAGAAGGCACACCCGGAGAACUGAAACAUCUUAGUACCCGGAGGAAGAGAAAGAAAAUUCGAUUCCCUUAGUAGCGGCGAGCGAAACGGGAAGAGCCCAAACCAACAAGCUUGCUUGUUGGGGUUGUAGGACACUCUAUACGGAGUUACAAAGGACGACAUUAGACGAAUCAUCUGGAAAGAUGAAUCAAAGAAGGUAAUAAUCCUGUAGUCGAAAAUGUUGUCUCUCUUGAGUGGAUCCUGAGUACGACGGAGCACGUGAAAUUCCGUCGGAAUCUGGGAGGACCAUCUCCUAAGGCUAAAUACUCUCUAGUGACCGAUAGUGAACCAGUACCGUGAGGGAAAGGUGAAAAGCACCCCGGAAGGGGAGUGAAAUAGAACCUGAAACCGUGUGCUUACAAGUAGUCAGAGCCCGUUAAUGGGUGAUGGCGUGCCUUUUGUAGAAUGAACCGGCGAGUUACGAUUUGAUGCAAGGUUAAGCAGUAAAUGUGGAGCCGUAGCGAAAGCGAGUCUGAAUAGGGCGUUUAGUAUUUGGUCGUAGACCCGAAACCAGGUGAUCUACCCUUGGUCAGGUUGAAGUUCAGGUAACACUGAAUGGAGGACCGAACCGACUUACGUUGAAAAGUGAGCGGAUGAACUGAGGGUAGCGGAGAAAUUCCAAUCGAACCUGGAGAUAGCUGGUUCUCUCCGAAAUAGCUUUAGGGCUAGCCUCAAGUGAUGAUUAUUGGAGGUAGAGCACUGUUUGGACGAGGGGCCCCUCUCGGGUUACCGAAUUCAGACAAACUCCGAAUGCCAAUUAAUUUAACUUGGGAGUCAGAACAUGGGUGAUAAGGUCCGUGUUCGAAAGGGAAACAGCCCAGACCACCAGCUAAGGUCCCAAAAUAUAUGUUAAGUGGAAAAGGAUGUGGCGUUGCCCAGACAACUAGGAUGUUGGCUUAGAAGCAGCCAUCAUUUAAAGAGUGCGUAAUAGCUCACUAGUCGAGUGACACUGCGCCGAAAAUGUACCGGGGCUAAACAUAUUACCGAAGCUGUGGAUUGUCCUUUGGACAAUGGUAGGAGAGCGUUCUAAGGGCGUUGAAGCAUGAUCGUAAGGACAUGUGGAGCGCUUAGAAGUGAGAAUGCCGGUGUGAGUAGCGAAAGACGGGUGAGAAUCCCGUCCACCGAUUGACUAAGGUUUCCAGAGGAAGGCUCGUCCGCUCUGGGUUAGUCGGGUCCUAAGCUGAGGCCGACAGGCGUAGGCGAUGGAUAACAGGUUGAUAUUCCUGUACCACCUAUAAUCGUUUUAAUCGAUGGGGGGACGCAGUAGGAUAGGCGAAGCGUG
This 1453-nucleotide ribosomal RNA is filed under the name Staphylococcus aureus. RNAcentral describes it as "partial 23S ribosomal RNA". It matches the Rfam family "Bacterial large subunit ribosomal RNA", at positions 42 to 1495 of the family's 2925-position model. Lineage: Bacteria; Bacillati; Bacillota; Bacilli; Caryophanales; Staphylococcaceae. The record is from RNAcentral.